This 468-nucleotide ribosomal RNA is filed under the name uncultured bacterium. Its description in RNAcentral is "partial 16S ribosomal RNA". It matches the Rfam family "Bacterial small subunit ribosomal RNA", at positions 28 to 507 of the family's 1533-position model. The record is from RNAcentral.
GACGAACGCUGGCGGCGUGCUUAACACAUGCAAGUCGAACGGAAAGGCCCUGCUUUUGUGGGGUGCUCGAGUGGCGAACGGGUGAGUAACACGUGAGUAACCUGCCCUUGACUUUGGGAUAACUUCAGGAAACUGGGGCUAAUACCGGAUAGGAGCUCUUGCUGCAUGGUGGUGGUUGGAAAGUUUCGGCGGUUGGGGAUGGACUCGCGGCUUAUCAGCUUGUUGGUGGGGUAGUGGCUUACCAAGGUUUUGACGGGUAGCCGGCCUGAGAGGGUGACCGGCCACAUUGGGACUGAGAUACGGCCCAGACUCCUACGGGAGGCAGCAGUGGGGAAUAUUGCACAAUGGGCGGAAGCCUGAUGCAGCAACGCCGCGUGCGGGAUGACGGCCUUCGGGUUGUAAACCGCUUUCGCCUGUGACGAAGCGUGAGUGACGGUAAUGGGUAAAGAAGCACCGGCUAACUACGUG